AAGGAUCAUUAUCGAGUUUUGACUGGGUUGUAGCUGGCCUUCCGAGGCACGUGCACGCCCUGCUCAUCCACUCUACACCUGUGCACUUACUGUGGGUUUACCGGUCGCGAAACGGGCUCGUUUAUUCGGGCUUGUGGAGCGCACUUGUUGCCUGCGUUUAUCACAAACUCCAUUAAAGUAUUAGAAUGUGUAUUGCGAUGUAACGCAUCUAUAUACAACUUUCAGCAACGGAUCUCUUGGCUCUCGCAUCGAUGAAGAACGCAGCGAAAUGCGAUAAGUAAUGUGAAUUGCAGAAUUCAGUGAAUCAUCGAAUCUUUGAACGCACCUUGCGCUCCUUGGUAUUCCGAGGAGCAUGCCUGUUUGAGUGUCAUGAAAUCUUCAACUUACAAGCUCUUUGCGGGGUUUGUAGGCUUGGACUUGGAGGCUUGUCGGCCUUUAACGGKCGGCUCCUCUUAAAUGCAUUAGCUUGAUUUCCUUGCGGAUCGGCUGUCGGUGUGAUAAUGUCUACUCCGCGACCGUGAAGCGUUUGGCAAGCUUCUAACCGUCUCGUUACAGAGACAGCUUUAUGACCUCUGACCUCAAAUCAGGUAGGACUACCCGCUGAACUUAA
Molecule: ribosomal RNA, 610 nt
Filed under: Ganoderma australe
Lineage: Eukaryota; Fungi; Basidiomycota; Agaricomycetes; Polyporales; Polyporaceae
Description: eukaryotic LSU rRNA
Source: RNAcentral